UUAGCUAGUUGGUAGGGUAACGGGCCGUACCAAGGCGAUGAUGCAUAGCCCGAGUUGAGAGACUGAUCGGCCACAUUGGGGACUGAGACACGGGCCCAAACUCCUACGGGAGGCAGCAGUAGGGAAUCUUCCACAAUGGACGCAAGUCUGAUGGAGCAAACGCCGCGUGAGUGAAGAAGGGUUUCGGCUCGUAAAAAGCUCUGUUGUUGGUGAAGAAGGACAGGGGUAGUAACUGGCCCUUUGUUUGACGGUAAUCAAUUAGAAAGUCACGGGCUAACUACGUGCCAGCAGCCGCGGUAAAU
This 302-nucleotide ribosomal RNA is filed under the name uncultured Lactobacillus sp. RNAcentral's name for it is "bacterial SSU rRNA". It matches the Rfam family "Bacterial small subunit ribosomal RNA", at positions 241 to 525 of the family's 1533-position model. Lineage: Bacteria; Bacillati; Bacillota; Bacilli; Lactobacillales; Lactobacillaceae. The record is from RNAcentral.